UAUGUCCUUUCAGAGUAUCAUUGGAGGGCAGUCUGGUGCCAGCAGCCGCGGUAAUUCCAGCUCCAAUAGCGUAUAUUAAAAUUGUUGCAGUUAAAAAGCUCGUAGUUGAAUUUCUGCUGCAUCGUCGCAUCUCUUGCUGAGUGCUUCGUUUCGGCUUAUUUCGGAUUGAUUUUUUCUUUCCGGAUGAUUACUUUGAGAAAAUUAGAGUGCUCAAAGCAGGCUUUUGCCUUGAAUAGUUUAGCAUGGAAUAAUAAAGUAGGACUUUGGUUCUAUUUUGUUGGUUUUAGGUACCAAAGUAAUGGUUAAUAGGAACAGUUGGGGGCAUUCGUAUUUAACUGUCAGAGGUGAAAUUCUUAGAUUUGUUAAAGACGAACUACUGCGAAAGCAUUUGCCAAGGAUGUUUUCAUUAAUCAAGAACGAAAGUUAGGGGAUCGAAGACGAUCAGAUACCGUCGUAGUCCUA
Molecule: ribosomal RNA, 462 nt
Filed under: Theileria sinensis
Lineage: Eukaryota; Apicomplexa; Aconoidasida; Piroplasmida; Theileriidae
Description: SSU rRNA
Rfam family: Eukaryotic small subunit ribosomal RNA
Source: RNAcentral